UGCCUUACCAUGCAAGUCGAACGGUAGAGCAGCAAUGCUUGAGAGUGGCGAACGGGUGAGUAAUAUAUCGGAACGUGCCCAGUCGUGGGGGAUAACGUAAAGAAAUUUACGCUAAUACCGCAUACGAUCUAAGGAUGAAAGCGGGGGACUCGCAAGAGCCUCGCGCGAUUGGAGCGGCUGAUAUCAAAUUAGGUUGUUGGUGAGGUAAAAGCUCACCAAGCCGACAAUCUGUAGCUGGUUUGAGAGAACGACCAGCCACACUGGGACUGAGACACGGCCCAAACUCCUACGGGAGGCAGCAGUGGGGAAUUUUGGACAAUGGGCGAAAGCCUGAUCCAGCAAUGCCGCGUGUGGGAAGAAGGCCUUCGGGUUGUAAACCACUUUUGUACGGAACGAAACGGCCUGCCCUAAUACGGUGGGCUAAUGACGGUACCGUAAGAAUAAGCACCGGCUAACUACGUGCCAGCAGCCGCGGUAAUACGUAGGGUGCGAGCGUUAAUCGGAAUUACUGGGCGUAAAGCGUGCGCAGGCGGUUAUAUAAGACAGUUGUGAAAUCCCCGGGCUCAACCUGGGAAUUGCAUCUGUGACUGUAUAGCUAGAGUACGGUAGAGGGGGAUGGAAUUCCGCGUGUAGCAGUGAAAUGCGUAGAUAUGCGGAGGA
This 660-nucleotide ribosomal RNA is filed under the name uncultured bacterium. RNAcentral describes it as "bacterial SSU rRNA". It matches the Rfam family "Bacterial small subunit ribosomal RNA", at positions 45 to 705 of the family's 1533-position model. The record is from RNAcentral.